This 450-nucleotide ribosomal RNA is filed under the name uncultured bacterium. RNAcentral's name for it is "partial 16S ribosomal RNA". It matches the Rfam family "Bacterial small subunit ribosomal RNA", at positions 354 to 796 of the family's 1533-position model. The record is from RNAcentral.
GUGGGGAAUAUUGGACAAUGGGCGAAAGCCUGAUCCAGCCAUGCCGCGUGUGUGAAGAAGGUCUUCGGAUUGUAAAGCACUUUAAGUUGGGAGGAAGGGCAGUAAGUUAAUACCUUGCUGUUUUGACGUUACCGACAGAAUAAGCACCGGCUAACUUCGUGCCAGCAGCCGCGGUAAUACGAAGGGUGCAAGCGUUAAUCGGAAUUACUGGGCGUAAAGCGCGCGUAGGUGGUUUUGUAAGUUGGAGGUGAAAUCCCUGGGCUCAACCUGGGAACUGCCUCCAAAACUGCAUGACUAGAGUACGGUAGAGGGUAGUGGAAUUUCCUGUGUAGCGGUGAAAUGCGUAGAUAUAGGAAGGAACACCAGUGGCGAAGGCGACUACCUGGACUGAUACUGACACUGAGGUGCGAAAGCGUGGGGAGCAAACAGGAUUAGAAACCCCGGUAGUCC